Long non-coding RNA from Cotesia glomerata, 640 nucleotides. RefSeq lists it as uncharacterized. The transcript has 3 exons. The record is from RefSeq and is a predicted model, not a curated record. NCBI's taxonomy places the organism in Eukaryota, Metazoa, Arthropoda, Insecta, Hymenoptera, Braconidae.
UGAGAUGUGUUCUUUUUACCGCAGUCUGAAAUAAAUUUGAACCAUGGUCAAUUCGUUCGCGCUAAUCUGAUAACCACAGAAGUGGAGUUUCUAUUCAAUUAGUUUCUCAAUCCACUGGAAUAAUAUUUGUUUUAGGAUGGCUGAAACUGCCAUUUGCUGAUAUGAAUAAUGGUGGUCUUCGUUAUGGGAGUGGGUUGAUUGUGGAUGGAAAUUAUAAAAUUAAAGUUCACGUUAACCCCUUCGUUCAGAAUCAAGGGUCAAUUGAAGGUAUCUAUGUCCGUGUCGUGGGAAAUUUUGUCGAAAUCAAAAUGGUAUUCCUUUCGUAUCCGUGGACAACAUUCAGGAUGUAAUUCUUGUGCCAAACAGACCGAUUCUUACAACGGUAGAAUUGAGUAUAUUAGGUCACAUGACUCCUUAAGUUAUAGCGACUUUCCGCUUAAAAAAAUAGCGAUGGUGCAAUUUUUACAAUUGCACCGAUUUUGACUAUGUGUCCAGUACUAUAAGUAUAUUUAUGUGCCAAGUAUUUUAUGUUUUAAAAUCAUCUACGUGUUACGAAGUGUUUGUACUUUUUCUUAUUUUAGAUUGAAAACAUUUUUUUUUUUAAUUUUUAAUUUCCGACAAAAAUUUAAUUGAUCUUUAU